Molecule: long non-coding RNA, 2260 nt
Filed under: Manihot esculenta (cassava)
Lineage: Eukaryota; Viridiplantae; Streptophyta; Magnoliopsida; Malpighiales; Euphorbiaceae
Description: long non-coding RNA (MESC_LNC008278)
Source: RNAcentral
UCCAGAGCCGAAAGUCAUGCAGGUUCGGCAGCACCUUCGGCGGCCGAAAGUGCCCUCCAGAGACGAAAGUCCAUUUUCGGGGGCAGCUUCGGCAACCGAAAGGCUUGCCUCACAGACAGGUUUGGUGGCCGAAAAUCCUUUCGGCUGCCGAACCUGGUUUCUCCCGAAGGGCAGAAACCAGCUCUUCAAAGCACACUUUCCUCCUCAAACCUUCCAAACAAGCAACCACUCUCUCAAAGCAUGCAUACAUACAUACAUCAACACCUAGGGGUCUCAAACUAUCCUAAACCCCAACUACAACACAUCAAACAUACAUAUCCAACAUACAUUGCUCAAAAACACAAAGUAAACCCAUAAACUCAACAUAACCUAUACAUGCAUUUCUACCCCAUAAAAACUUCAUAAAAUUUGUUUAAAACAUGGAAUGAACUACAGAUCUACUCUUACCUCUUGAAGAACGAGAGGAGAGACGACCCUAGCUUGGAGGUGGGGAGAAAUCCGCUCCUUAGUCUCCUAGCUUCAAAACUUUGCUCUUUUGCUCAAAUAUCUUCAAAUCAACAUAAAACUAGUUAAAACAUGAAAGAUUGGGGGGAAAACAUCUAAAAUGAACCAUGGGAGAGCAAGAACUCACCGUGGCCGAAAAUGGGGAGAAAACUCGCCCGUUUCGGCCAUGGAGCUCUUAUAUAGGGGCUAGCAGACCACCUUUCGGCAGCCUAAAGUGCCUCCAAAACUCAUGCAAGUUCGGCGGCCGAACCUUUGAAACUUUCGGAAGCCUAACUUGCCUCCCUAAAUCAUCCCACGUUCGGCGGCCGAACUUGGGGUUCGGCUGCCGAACCUGGAAAUGUCUCCUUGGUCUUUUUCAUUUAAAACUCAAUUUCCUUUUUGCUUAAAACCAUAAGAUACAUUAAAACGUUUUAUGAAAACAUGGUUUUACCCUUCUAGAGGUCUCCGACAUCCGAGAUUCCACCGGACGGUAUGAAUUCCGAUACCGGAGUCUAGCCGGGUAUUACACUAUACAUAAUCAUAAUCAUCAACCCACACUGGAGUCCUCAACAAUGCUCCAAUGGGGUAACAUACAUACAUUAAGUUUGGUUUUCAAUAAUCAUCAUUAAACAUUUGAGAUCAUGUACUAAAAAGGGAUUAACACAUACUAUGGUCAAGCACAACUCUAAACUUCCAUAAGCAUCAUUACAUAACACUUCUAUAUCAUACUUUUACAUUACAUCAAAUCCAUGUCCACCUCUAGCUAUUACAUAAUACACAACUCUACUCCUGCUGACCUCCUGGUCUACCCUAUACCUGCAAACCUGGGGGUUAAGGGAGAGGGGUGAGCUAUAAAGCCCAGUGAGCAGAAUAAUUAAACAUUCAAUUUAAAUUUCAUGCUUUCAUGAAAUGCAACACAUCACAAACAAUUCACGUCAAGGAUGAACUUGUCACCAUUUAACCCUCCAUACAGUCAAACCAUGCCAGGAGCGUAGUUUAGGCACGCCUGGACUUCCAUAGCAUAAUAUACAUAUCCAAUAGUGCCGGGGGCGUAGUGCAAGCUCACCCGGUCUUUCCCUUACAUAGUGCCAGGGGCGUAGUGCAGGCACGCCUGGACUUCCAUAGCAUAACAUCAUGUCAUAACGUGUGAGGGCUAAUGGAUCAUUCAACAUUCAUCCACAUCAACAACAUAUUAUGCAAUGCAACAUAUUCGUGAAUUCUAAUGCAAGCACCCUAAUAUAUCUCAUGGCAUUCAUGAUGCGUGUAUCAUGCUCAGAAUUUAUUUAUUUACUUUGAAACAAAAUAAGGUAUUCCACUCACCUCUGGCUGAAGCUCUAACAGACUCAGAAGCAGCUGAACUCACUGCUGGGGUCCUCGGUUCCUCGGGUCUGAACCUACACAGGUGGACUCAAAUGAGGGACCAAACAUUCAUGAAUAUGACUCUAAAAUACUCUCCAAAAACCCCCUAAAACACCUCAAAACAUCCAUAGAAAACAUGCAAAGGAAGGCUAAACAGGGCACUUUCGGCGGCAGGUUCGGCGGCCGAAAGUCCCUCCAGAGCCGAAAGUCAUACAGGUUCGGCGGCACCUUUGGCGGCCGAAAGUGCCCUCCAGAGACGAAAGUCCAUUUUCGGGGGCAGGCUUCGGCAGCCGAAAGGCUUGCCUCACAGACAGGUUCGGCGGCCGAACUCAGCUCUUCAAUGCACACUUUCCUCCCAAACCCUCCAAUCAAGCAUCCAACUCUCUCAAAUCAUGCAUAGACACUUGCAUCAACACAU